AUCCCUUCUCGGCCUUUUGGCUAAGAUCAAGUGUAGUACCUAAUUCACAAUCAACAGUGCUGCCCAUGUAAUCUUGAGAGAUAUCAUGGAAUAAAAGAUAGAAUUUUGUACUUAGAAUCAAGAAGAACUGACUUCAGUUCCCAUCUCAAACCCUUACCUGCGUGAUCCAAGGCAAGAUCCUUU
Small nuclear RNA from Monodelphis domestica (gray short-tailed opossum), 183 nucleotides. Its record names the gene U2. It matches the Rfam family "U2 spliceosomal RNA". Rfam says of the family: U2 is a small nuclear RNA (snRNA) component of the spliceosome (involved in pre-mRNA splicing). Complementary binding between U2 snRNA (in an area lying towards the 5' end but 3' to hairpin I) and the branchpoint sequence (BPS) of the intron results the bulging out of an unpaired adenosine, on the BPS, which initiates a nucleophilic attack at the intronic 5' splice site, thus starting the first of two transesterification reactions that mediate splicing. The record is from Ensembl. NCBI's taxonomy places the organism in Eukaryota, Metazoa, Chordata, Mammalia, Didelphimorphia, Didelphidae.